Molecule: ribosomal RNA, 332 nt
Filed under: uncultured Thermomicrobium sp.
Lineage: Bacteria; Pseudomonadati; Thermomicrobiota; Thermomicrobia; Thermomicrobiales; Thermomicrobiaceae
Description: bacterial SSU rRNA
Rfam family: Bacterial small subunit ribosomal RNA
Source: RNAcentral
CGCGCAGGCGGCGGUGCUGGCCCGGCGUGAAAGCCCCCGGCUCAACCGGGGAGGGUCGUCGGGGACCGCACCGCUUGAGGGCGGUAGGGGCUGGUGGAAUGCCUGGUGUAGUGGUGAAAUGCGUAGAGAUCAGGCGGAACACCCGUGGCGAAGGCGGCCAGCUGGGCCGUCCCUGACGCUGAGGCGCGAAGGCGUGGGGAGCGAACGGGAUUAGAUACCCCGGUAGUCCACGCAGUAAACGAUGCCGACUAGGCGUGGGGGGAGUUGACCCCCUCCGUGCCGGAGCCAACGCGGGAAGUCGGCCGCCUGGGGAGUACGGCCGCAAGGCUAAA